UGUGUAGGCGGACUCACAAGCGUUCUGUGAAAUACCUCGGCUAAACCGAGGAACGGCGGGACGAACUAUGAGUCUUGAGGCAAGUAGGGGUGCGCGGAACUCUUGGUGGAGCGGUGGAAUGCGUAGAUAUCAAGAGGAACGCCGGUGGUGAAGACGGUGCACUGGGCUUGUCCUGACGCUAAGACACGAAAGCGUGGGGAGCAAACG
RNAcentral lists this ribosomal RNA (207 nucleotides) under uncultured bacterium. RNAcentral describes it as "partial 16S ribosomal RNA". It matches the Rfam family "Bacterial small subunit ribosomal RNA", at positions 568 to 774 of the family's 1533-position model. The record is from RNAcentral.